GUAGUCAUAUGCUUGUCUCAAAGAUUAAGCCAUGCAUGUCUAAGUAUAAGCAAUUAUACCGCGAAACUGCGAAUGGCUCAUUAUAUAAGUUAUCGUUUAUUUGAUAGUACCUUUCUACUUGGAUAACCGUGGUAAUUCUAGAGCUAAUACAUGCUAAAAAUCCCGACUUCGGAAGGGAUGUAUUUAUUAGAUUAAAAGCCAAUGCCCUCUGGGCUCUCUGGUGAUUCAUGAUAACUUCUCGAAUCGCAUGGCCUUGCGCCGGCAAUGGUUCAUUCAAAUUUCUUCCCUAUCAACUUUCGAUGUUUGGGUAUUGGCCAAACAUGGUUGCAACGGGUAACGGAGGGUUAGGGCUCGACCCCGGAGAAGGAGCCUGAGAAACGGCUACUACAUCCAAGGAAGGCAGCAGUCGCGCAAAUUACCCAAUCCCGACACGGGGAGGUAGUGACAAUAAAUACUGAUACAGGGCUCUUUUGGGUCUUGUAAUUGGAAUGAGUACAAUUUAAAUCCCUUAACGAGGAACAAUUGGAGGACAAGUCUGGUGCCAGCAGCC
This 550-nucleotide ribosomal RNA is filed under the name uncultured eukaryote. RNAcentral describes it as "SSU rRNA". It matches the Rfam family "Eukaryotic small subunit ribosomal RNA", at positions 20 to 575 of the family's 1831-position model. The record is from RNAcentral.